CGGUGGCGAUAGCGAAGUGGAUACACCUGUUCCCAUCCCGAACACAGAAGUUAAGCACUUCAACGGCGACAAUAGUUGGGCGUGCCCCUGCGAAGAUAGCAAGCUGCUGG
RNAcentral lists this ribosomal RNA (110 nucleotides) under Chlamydia trachomatis. The record is from RNAcentral. Lineage: Bacteria; Pseudomonadati; Chlamydiota; Chlamydiia; Chlamydiales; Chlamydiaceae.